Molecule: ribosomal RNA, 373 nt
Filed under: uncultured organism
Description: partial 16S ribosomal RNA
Rfam family: Bacterial small subunit ribosomal RNA
Source: RNAcentral
GUAGGUGGCAAGCGUUGUCCGGAAUUAUUGGGCGUAAAGCGCGCGCAGGCGGUUCUUUAAGUCUGAUGUGAAAGCCCACGGCUCAACCGUGGAGGGUCAUUGGAAACUGGAGAACUUGAGUAUAGAAGAGGAAAGCGGAAUUCCACGUGUAGCGGUGAAAUGCGUAGAGAUGUGGAGGAACACCAGUGGCGAAGGCGGCUUUCUGGUCUGUAACUGACGCUGAGGCGCGAAAGCGUGGGGAGCAAACAGGAUUAGAUACCCUGGUAGUCCACGCCGUAAACGAUGAGUGCUAAGUGUUAGGGGGGUUUCCGCCCCCCUUAGUGCUGCAGCUAACGCAUUAAGCACUCCGCCUGGGAGUACGGCCGCAAGGCUG